UGCCAGCCGCCGCGGUAAUACGGAGGGGGCAAGCGUUAUUCGGAUUUAUUGGGCGUAAAGGGCGUGUAGGCGGCCUGGUAAGUUGAAGGUGAAAUCCCACGGCUCAACCGUGGAACUGCCUUCGAUACUGCCAGGCUAGAGUACGGGAGAGGGUAGUGGAAUUCCCAGUGUAGCGGUGAAAUGCGUAGAUAUGGGGAGGAACACCAGUGGCGAAGGCGACUACCUGGACCGUUACUGACGCGGAGGCGCGAAGGCGUGGGUAGCGAACGGGAUUAGAUA
This 279-nucleotide ribosomal RNA is filed under the name uncultured bacterium. Its description in RNAcentral is "partial 16S ribosomal RNA". It matches the Rfam family "Bacterial small subunit ribosomal RNA", at positions 506 to 784 of the family's 1533-position model. The record is from RNAcentral.